CACGGGGGGAGCAAGCGUUGUCCGGAUUUACUGGGCGUAAAGCGCGUGUAGGCGGCUUGGCAAGUCGGAUGUGAAAGCCCACGGCUCAACCGUGGAAGCGCAUCCGAAACUGCUUCGCUCGAGUCUCGGAGAGGAAGGUGGAAUGCUUGGUGUAGAGGUGAAAUUCGUAGAUAUCAAGCAGAACACCUGCGGCGAAGGCGGCCUUCUGGACGAUGACUGACGCUGAGACGCGAAAGCGUGGGGAGCAAACAGG
Molecule: ribosomal RNA, 253 nt
Filed under: uncultured bacterium
Lineage: Bacteria
Description: partial 16S ribosomal RNA
Rfam family: Bacterial small subunit ribosomal RNA
Source: RNAcentral